AAUGAUUUAUGGAAAUAAAAUAAAAAAGGGUGAAUGAGAGAGGAGGAAGAGUUGACUGAAGAAGUUCAUUUCUUGGAAGGAAGGAAGAAGCAAUGUGGCUCUUUGAAUUUGGAAGAGGUGAACUGAAUACAUUGCUUUUACGGUGGAAAGUGUGUGAAUGGUGUGAAUAAGAAGCGAAGCAAUCGGAACCCCAAAAGCGUGGCGUUUUGAACGGUCAUGAGAAGAGGCCAACCCAACACGACACGAACAUGGCCGAAACAACCUCUUCCGACAACAAUCAUAUUCCAAUCGAAAUCGUGAGCGAUCAUGAAAUGGCUCUCAUUGAAGCUGCAUUUGCUUUAGCUUCUCGUUCUUUCUCUGCCAUUCGUUCAUCUCCAUCCACACUCACACCACCUCCUUCUCCCCACUCUCACGCUUCUGCGUUCUCCGUCAACUCAAUCACCCUUCUAUCCAAAAGAAGGUUGUCCAAUGACAUUGAUAUUGAAGACUCACACUCACUCACCCACAAGAAAAAAACCACUCUUCCCGAUUCCCUUCUUCACCGUUUCAGAAGGAAAAGGGGCUUGUCCGUCACUGAUCUUACCUCUACGGAAUGGUGCCCAAAACAAAUGGAAUUUUCUCUUCUUCUUGGAGGGCGAAAGGUCAAUCAAGUAAUGAGAGCUGGCAUUGCUCGCCAUGCAAAGCUUGAAGAAGAGGUUAUAAAACGGGUGGAAGUGAAGGUCAAAUCACAAGAAGAUUAUUGGGCCCUGAAGUUUCUUAAUUUUAUAAGUGGUGUAAAUCAAUUAUUAUUUGAAGGAUUAACUCGUGAACUUCCAGUAAUAGGCUUUGCAGAAGAUACAUGGAUGGUGGGAGUAAUUGAUGAGAUUCGGAUGCCAUUAAUAGAAAACCAUCAUAAUCCAAUACUAAUUGACACAAAGACUCGUGCUCGAGAUACACUUCCAGCCGAACCACAACGAAGAAAUGGAAGGCUUCAAUUGAUGUGCUACAAGUAUUUGUGGGACAAUUUAGUUACUGAUAAUUUCCCUUCUAAAAAGUUUUUCACUUAUUUUGGCCUAAACCCUCAGCAUAAUCUAUGUGAAGAUCUGAAAAUGAUAGGUGCUGACUCUGGAUUUUCCGCUUCGACCUUGGAUGAUGUGGUGAGAUACUACAGAAAUACGUGCAGUAUGCUGGCCCCUGCUCACGAUCAGCUUUUAUUGAGGUAUGCAUCUGAACCAAAGGCUCUUGUGCUUAAUUAGCAUAUUUUUAUUGAUUGCCAGAGUUGCUCUGGACAAUAACAGGUCCUCAUGAUUGCUUUCAUCAAAUAUGGUUUUUAAACGAUUAUUUGUAGUAUUCAUUACUCAUCAAUUUAAGUUUUUGAAGAAGUCUACCACUGCCUGUCCUUUCCCUGCUCCAGCUUAGGUGGGGGAAAGCACUUGAACACGUGUGCACGUGCGCACACACAGAAGUUGCUUAUUAGUAAAACCCUGUGAUGUUGACCAAAUUUUUUGAAGACAACGAGUGAUAAAUCAUGUUGAUAAAUUUAUCAGUCACAAUGAGCAAACUGGAUUGCAUUCCACAUGCUCUUCCUCAAAUUUCCUGUUUUUGCGUGUAAGUUUGAUUUUGUAAGUUCUGGUUUUAUUUGCUUCGUGUCAGAUAUGAGUAUCAGAAAGAUCAUUCGCUGCUUGGUGAAGAUAAAUUUGCAUAUGAUUCUGACUGGCUAAAGAAUCAAAUUCGUUGUUGUCUUGAGUUUUGGCAUGGAGAACGAGAAGCCACUUAUACUCCUGAGGAGGAGCGAUGGAAAUGUCGAUUCUGUCAAUUUGGCACUGUCUGUCCUGCUUACACUGAUAGGAAAGGAAUGGUGGCCAGUACAAGCAAUGAUUCAAAUAUCAAAGAAGGCUAGAUAUGUGAAUGCUGACUCAAAUGUUAUCGUUAGCUGCCUCAAUAGCUAUGAAAACCUUCCUUCGUAAAGACAUGAUACUUUAAUACUGAGCAUUGUUUUAUUCAUUUAUCAAGAAGCAUUGUUGUAUCAAAAAUCAUUGUUGCUGUUGUCUCAUCAAAUUUUUUCUUGUAAGCAUCUAUUUCAUUCCCUUAAUGUAUAAAAUCGAAAGUUGAUUCGUAAUUGGAACACUGUUGUAAACAUUGUAUACAUAAUGUCAAAGGAAAAG
Abrus precatorius (Indian licorice) is the source of this 2144-nucleotide RNA transcript. It is a transcript of the gene named exonuclease V, chloroplastic-like, with no coding region annotated. The transcript has 9 exons. NCBI's taxonomy places the organism in Eukaryota, Viridiplantae, Streptophyta, Magnoliopsida, Fabales, Fabaceae. The record is from RefSeq and is a predicted model, not a curated record.